AUGACUGAAAGCAACCAGAGGGUUAAGAUCCUGAAAAAUCAAGAUGGCACACCAAGGAACUUCACGCAUUAAAUAACAUGCACACAACAGGAAGGAGACCCUGUGUACAUAUCCACGCCUGACCUCAACACUGAGGAAUCAGAGAGGAGUUCAGGGAGCAGGACAAUGUUUAGGGUGGCUGCACCUCGAGUUGGAUGGGACAUCGGCCCAGCUCACUUCAGCGAGCUGUCACCAAUGGCAGACACCCAUGAAUCGGGAUUUUCAAGGAGAAACAGGAAAGUGGAAUAUUUCUGGAUCCCCACUGAUGAGGAAUAAAUGUAAAAUGUCUAGUUUUAGAUAUAUUGCCUAAACAACAAAACAUUGGCUGUAAACAUUUUGCUAAAUCUCCUACUAGAUUAAAUUUGCCUAAAUUUAAUUUUGUAAAUGUUUUAACCUACAAAAUAUACUUUAAAUGUUGUGCUAACCACCAAAACAAAUGGUACUGUAUCCCGGUGGUAAAAAACUAAAUAGAUUCUGGUAAAAUAGUUCUCUCUUCACUAGAAGAGAUUUAGCACAAUGAAAGGUAAAAUUCUCAAGAGCAUUUCUUACAAAAAAUGUCAACAAACACUUUAGCUGAUCAAGUUUUUCCUUUAUUGUGAAUUCCGCAAUACUGGUGAUGAAUACAGCACUAAACAGCCUUACAAUGUCAUGAUCUCAAGCCAUUUCCUUUCUGACAACUGGAUUGCAGUUAACAUGUUGGCAAACGCAAAUGUACAAGAUUAACUUAGUCAAAUACAGUUAAAACACCUGUCAAUAAAAGGUUUUCUGAGAACCCCUUAUUGUCAAGGGCAAAAGCCUUUCACCCUUUUUGUUUUUUUUUCUGGAUUUUCCCCAUUUUCUUUUACAUUUAAGGACCCAUUAAAAGGCAGGUUAAAAUAAUCAAUCACUUUGAUGUUUAAGAUUGGAAUAAUUUGCAGCAGAUCAGUGGGACCUGAAGGGCAACAUUACUACUGCCAUUAAACAGAGAAUACAUUUCAGUUACCUUGUCAGAACACACCGCAGACAACAUUAAUGAAGUAAGGCUGGGGCAGCAGAGGCAUUAAGUUGACACUAAUAGCUUGAUUUCUGCAUCUUCAAUGGAAAGCUGAGAUACGUAUUAGGUAGUGUGUUGUGCAAAAUCAAACUACGCAGAUGUUCUGGAUCUUAAUUUAUGACUAAAACUUUAGACAUCAGAAGCCUGCACUAAAUAACGCUUAUUCAGUAGGAGGUAGAAAUGGAAACUUACAGUUUUACGGAUGUUUAAAUCAUGCACGAGGGUUGAAGGAUAUUGCAACCGACCCAGAAUAACACUAAUAAAAGCGUCUACAGCGUAACCUACAAAGGCCAUUCAACCAGGAUCUCACGAUUCAUUUGAAUCAAUCCCCAAGACAGACUGUAAACAAAUCAUUGCUUCUAUAUAACAGUUUCACUUCCGCUGAGACGCUGAAAGGUUUUCUGCCCUGUGUCAUGUGAAACAAAAACAAACAUGUAAGAAAUAUUUGGCUACCACUUUUUCUACUGAAAAAGCAUAGUGGUUCUGAAACUAAAGCAGAUAACAAGCCUGACAUUGGUUAUGAUGCGAGAAAACAUUAGAAACGUUAUGAUAAGGGUAUUACUACUACUCAUUUAAUUGAGCCUAGCAGCAGUGUACUGUAAUUGGCUGAGUGUGAGCUACUGCAAAUAGUGCAGGAAACAAAGAAGACAGCAAGUCAUGUAGCAGGAAA
Sinocyclocheilus grahami is the source of this 1742-nucleotide long non-coding RNA. RefSeq lists it as uncharacterized. The record is from RefSeq and is a predicted model, not a curated record. The transcript is spliced from 3 exons. NCBI's taxonomy places the organism in Eukaryota, Metazoa, Chordata, Actinopteri, Cypriniformes, Cyprinidae.